GGGGUAGCUGGUGUUCCUGGACUCCCAGGUCUGAAAGGUCCCAAAGGCAGAGGAGGAAUUUCUGGAUUUCCAGGUAUCCCAGGGGAGCCUGGUCAUUCCUGUGAGAGAGGUGCACCAGGAAUCCCAGGCCAACCAGGACUCCCUGGGGCUCCAGGUAGUCCAGGUAAGUGUCAGCAGGUGUUGAGAAAACCUAGGGGGUCUGUGGUUUACCCUACUUAAAAUAAUAUCUGUUCUUUUGAUCUCUUAUGGAUCUUGGCAGAAACAUGAGUCUCAAAUCAAAGACAAAACACUUUAUUAUUCCUGAGUUUCAUGUUGGUUUAUGUCAUUGCCCCGUGUCACCCAAGUCCCAUGGUACAGUGUAUGGGGGGCUGCAUUCACAGUGGGUUGCAUUAAAUGAGGGAGAUGCUGAGCCUAGGAACCACAACUCUGUAGCAGCCUUCCAGCAAGCCUGCUUUAUGUCUUGGGGGAGCCAUACCAUCUGUCACGGUUGCUCUCUGCAAACACAAUCUUAAGAAAUAGCCCAGGUAAACAGUAUCAGGACCUUGCAUUCUUGCCAUCCCCAGCAAGACAUAAAGAGUGCAAGAGACCUAUGAAGGACUGUCUCCCAAUACAGAUGCUAAGGGGCUGCUGUAGGGAAAUUAAAGAAAAUUUAUUUCUUAUAGUUCAGAAAACUGGAAAGUUCAAGGACAAGGCACCAGGGGUUUGAGGAUCUGUUCCUCAGAGGUGGCAACUUCUGUGCAUGCUUGCAUGAAGGAGAGCUCCCUCAUACCUCUUUUUUUUAAACAAUUUUUUUUAAAUUUGUAGAUGGACAUAAUUCCUUUAUUUGUUUAUUUAUUUUUAUGUGGUGGUGAGGAUCGAAUCCAAUCCUUCACACAUAUGAGGCAAGCACUCACCCCAGACCCCUUAUAUCUCUUUUACAAGAUCACUAAUCUUAGUCAUGAGGACUCUAUCCUCAUGACAUUCACCUUCUAAAAUCCCUACCUUUCAAUACUAUCCCACUGGCAGUUAAACUUUAACAUGGAUUUUGGAGAACUCAUUCAGACAUAACAGGGGCUAUUUCUAAUAUGAUACUCAUUUCAUUAUUCAGAUUGUUGGUUCUAUUAUUGCAGCCUAUUAUUGCUUUUGUCCAAAUGCAAGAUGUGCCCACUUGAAAAAUCUAAACAAGCUUGAGGCAAAACCUGCCACUACAGCCUUAUCUCUAAUGCCAGUAAUGCUAGAUGGUGCUGCUCCGAUUUCUACAAUUCUCUCACUACAGCCAGCAGCCAGCCUGGAGUUCACUUGGCCAGAGCUUCAAGAAGCAUCUGAAAAGUUUUCUUCUAGCAAUUUUGUUCUAGUAGUUUUUCUCCUUUAAAAGCACAUACAAAUAAAAUUUUGUUUUUAAUGCCUAGCCAUUUUCAAUUAAUUUUUUUUUUGUAAUCUUCACACAUCCCUCCUGGGAAAUAUUUAUUCACAUUAUCUCCCCUUCUUUUUGUAGCAUCCAGAAAAGCAUAUUCUUAGAUGGAUCAGAAGUUGCUCCAUUGUUUUAGUUAAUAUUGUUUAGAUUUUAUUUCAUGGGACACAGCUAAAUAAUUUGGGUGGUGGGUACCGGGGUUUGAACUCAUGGGUACUCAACCACUGAGCCACAUCCCCAGCUCUAUUUUGUAUUUUAUUUAGAGACAGGGUCUCACUGAGUUGCUUAGUGCCUCACUUUUGCUGAGGCUGGCUUUGAACUCAUGAUCCUCCUGUCUCAACCUCCCAAACUGGUGGGAUUACAGGCGUGAGCCAGGGCGCCUGGCCCACAGAUACAUAAUUUAAGCUUCUAUGAGUAUGGAUUUGCUGUACAUGUGUGAAGGCAGCUUUCCAUUCACCCCUUGUCUUCACUGUGGUUUGUCUCAGGUGCCCCAGGUUGGAAAGGGCAGCAAGGAGAUAUGGGGCCUCCUGGGCCAGCUGGAAUGAAGGGCCUCCCUGGGCUCCCAGGAUUGCCAGGGGCAGGUGGACUCCCAGGACCUCCAGGAAUCCCAGGACCCUUUGGGGAAGAUGGGCUGCCUGGUCUUCCAGGCCCAAAG
Molecule: long non-coding RNA, 2045 nt
Filed under: Marmota monax (woodchuck)
Lineage: Eukaryota; Metazoa; Chordata; Mammalia; Rodentia; Sciuridae
Source: RNAcentral